RNAcentral lists this long non-coding RNA (460 nucleotides) under Helianthus annuus (common sunflower). RNAcentral's name for it is "hypothetical non coding rna". Lineage: Eukaryota; Viridiplantae; Streptophyta; Magnoliopsida; Asterales; Asteraceae. The record is from RNAcentral.
AAACCCCAAUUACGCAUGGGCUGGGUUAACCCUAAUUACGCCCGUUAUAUUGGUGGUCACAUACCGUCCGUCACACGUUAAGAGACUUUUGUAUUUAAACCUUUCACUCCAAUAUUUUCCCUUCAGUUUCUUUAAGUAAAACUUACCCUUCUGUGAACCCUUGUCCACGAAAACCGCCGGCUUUUUUACGAUGCACAAGAGCUGCUGGAUCUGCAGGUGUGAGCCAAAUUCUUUCAAUGUCUCCAUAUUGAGAUAGAAUAUGACGAAGCUUUAAAGGAUCCAUGCGUGGAGGGACCCGGCUCAAGUAGCAGACCCCACGCUUAUCAGCCUUAGCAGCUUCUUUCAUUAACCGUUUUUUCCUUCUAUUUUUUCGUUCUGCCUUUAGUUUAUCUAAUUCUGAAUCUGACAAUUCCUUUGUAGAAUCCUCUUUUUUGACUUGUUCUUCUUCAACCAUUAUGAC